This 21147-nucleotide long non-coding RNA is filed under the name Ananas comosus (pineapple). RNAcentral describes it as "long non-coding RNA (ACOM_LNC028558)". Lineage: Eukaryota; Viridiplantae; Streptophyta; Magnoliopsida; Poales; Bromeliaceae. The record is from RNAcentral.
UUAUUUAUUUAUUUAUUUUGAACUGUUGAUAAAUUUAUAUACUCGUUUUUUUUUUUUUUUUGAGAAAGUUAGUAUAUUAUUUGUUUCGUUUAUUUUUUAAAAAAAUAAAUUUAGCUGAAAAUGUGAAUCAGUCAGGAUUUGAACUUAAAAUUUCGAAUACCAACCAUCAAGUCUUUUGAUAAAUUUAUAUACUUUUUAUUGCAUGUAGAAUGAACAAAUAAGAGUCUUUCAGAUUACAUACUUGAACAUAGAAAUAAAGCAUUGUUUUACUAUAAAAAAUAACACUUAACUGUUGUGCAAAUUUUAUGUUUAUUUUAUCAAAAAAAAAUCUGCCGUUAAAUAAAUAGCAAAUUAAAAUUCUAUGAAAUCACAGAAUAAUACGCUGUUUAGUAAUAUGCUAUUAUAAUAAAAUCACAUGAUAGUUAAGCGUAACUUUUUAACCGCACAGUGAAAAAUAUAAGCAUGCAUGCUACAUGACAUAAUAGAUAGUUGAGUCCAACUUUUUUAAUCAUGUGAUGGUAAAGUAAAACAAUCCUAAUUCACAAGAGGAUAAGCUGAAGUUUACCUUAUUGUAACAUAUUAAUAAUUUACAAAGAUAAUAUUCCAUGGGAGGAAAAAAAAAACUUUUUAUCAUUCUUUUUAUUGUAGAGAAUUGUAUUUUGUCCACAAUAUAUCUCAAAUAAAAUCUUAAAAUGUAUGUAUAUACGAAUUAAAAUAUGUAUAUUAUGUUAUACAUGUGAUCGAGCUGUCCAUCUUGUUUUGAGUAUAAAAGAAUCAACUUCUUAUUUGUGGGGAAUAUACUGUUGCUAAACUGCAAAUUGGAUCAGUGCUAUUAUUUUAUUAUUAUUAUUAUUAUAUUUUUUGGAUAAUUUGAAUGUAGUUGAUGUCGCGUUAUGCAUGCUUUUAACAUCCUUCUUGAGUUAACAACUUAAGGUUUUAAAAGAAUAACGAUUAUUUAAUAUUUUUAACACAGUAUAUAAGUAGGAAGUUUUUAAUUUGAGUUUCGUCAGUCUCCUAUUAUUGCUUAGUUUUUUCUUAUUUAAUUUAAAUUUAUAUUUUAGAAUUAUUAUUCUUAAUUUUAAAUAUAAAAAAAUAAAUAUGAAUAUUAAAAAUAUCGUAUUCUUUGACACCCUGUGGCUUGUACUUUUCCCAGUUAGAACAGUAGUUAAUUAGUUUUUUAUUAUGUGGGAAAGUGGAGGGUUUGUUUGGUUUAUUCCAAGUUUUCAAUAAUUGGCCCGAAAUUAAUACGCGCACACAAGCACUGUUUAGCAACAGUUAUUUCGAACACGCAUUUAUUGUUUUUUUUUUUUCUAAUGGAUAAAUUUUAUUUUUUUAAUAAUUUAUCUUAUUUUUUAUUUUACUAUUUUGCAUGGUAAAAAAAAUUAUAUUUAAUUAUCAUAAAAUUUAGGUCCUAGAAAUUAUACUCAAUUACUUUGUAAUUAUUGUUACAACAAACGCACAAACGGAAAUAAAAUGACGUAUACGAAACAAUCAAACCACAAACAGAAAAUAAAGAGAACGCACAGAUUUAAGUGAAAAAUCAUAUGCAGAGAAAAACCACGGGCGAGGCAGAAGAGAGCUUCACAAUCAAACGAAAAAGGGAAUACAAUGUUCAGAAGAUUACAACCAAUCACAAUCUCACGCCUCUAGGGCAAAAACGAAAAGGAAACCCAUAACAGCUUUCGGAUCUGAUCCGAUCCGAUCCGAUCUGAUCCUGUUGGCCCGAGCCCUCCGCUACCCACCACAGACAUUUAUUUUUUCUUCACAAAUUUAUUUUUCCAAUUUUGGUCGCACCGCGAAACUGUUGACGACUCAGAAACCUGAAUUUGAGUCGAUUAUCAAUUUCGAGUCAUAUCUAAUAGUUAUAAAAUUAUUGUGUCAUUCUAUUUGAUAAUAAAUAUUUUGUAUAAUAAUAGAUAAUAUAUUAUAUAAUAGUUAAGUAUAACUUUUUAAAUCACAUAAUCACAAAAUAAAAAUAUAAAUUAAAAGUUAUCUUUUUUAAUUACAGUAUUUUUGAAUUUUGAUAGUAAAUAUUUGGUUUUGGAAAGUGCUCCCUAAGUAAUUAGCAGUUCAAAGUUUAUGUAUCCUCUUCAGUAAAAUAUUAGAUGGCGUUGAAUAAAGAAAAUGUGUAAAUUGUUGCAUGCUUUUUCGUUGACAAGUGUGAUUAUAAGUAUUUUUAAAAUUUUUGGAUCGUUCAAAAUAUAAGAACACGUACAUUUAGCUAUCGCAAUACCAAAUUAGGUUUUAGAAUAACUUUCUAAAAUUGACUCUUCUGAGAAUCUUUUUGGCCCAGAUUUUAGUUUAGUUCAUUCAUAUGUUCGCAAAAUAAUAUUUGAUAAAUAAAAAUAUUUGAAAUAUCUUAGCAGUGGAAAACGAAAAAUAAAAUUCUAUGUAUCAAAAGUAAAAAGAAAAAUUGUUGGCAUUUCUAAUUUACUUAAAAUAUUGUUGGAUGGACGCGAAUAUAAAUAUAUAAUACAUUUUCUAAUAGUAUAACCAUUUAAUAGUAUUUUAUUAAAUAUUAAAUAAUAUAUAAUAUUGUAGUUAUAUGCUUGCCGACGCAUAACAACGGGAGGCCAUUUAAUUUAAAUGUGUGAACAAUAUCAAACUUAGCCCUUUGAAACUUCAAAAUAUUAUAUUUGUCCCUUUCAAAAUCUAAAAUAUCAUUCGUGGCCCUCUACUAUUUGUAUAAAUCUAUCACAAACGUCUCUGUGAACUCCAAACCUAAAGCCUAAAUGCUAAAGCUAAACCCUUUAAUGUUUAUAAGGUAAAAAUUUACAUAAUUUAUCUAAAAUAUGAAUUAUUUUGAAUUAGCCACCCAAUCUUUCAAAAUUUUGUUAUUUUACUAUCAGAUAUUUCAAUUUGUUUGAUUUGAAUCAGCCAACGGCACUUACUCUUUAAAAUUGAAUAUAUCAUUUAACUUUACAGGUAUAAUAGUAUGCUUCAUAUAAUUUUCAUAACUAUAAAUUUAUUAAAAUAAAUAAUUAGCUUAAAUUUUAAAAGCAAAGCAUCGUUGACUGAGUCAAACUAAAUAAAUUGAAAGGUUGGAUAGUAAAAAUAAAAUUUAAAAGAGUCGGAUACCCGAAUAAAAAUGGCACAUAGUUUAGAUAAGUUCAGAAUGUUUUUGCCUAUUCGAAGAACACUAAUGACAUUUUACAAUUUGAAGGAAUUUUAACAAAAUUAGAAUCCGUCGAAGGAGUACUGAAGAAAUCAAGCGUUGAAAUGUCUGUAGCGAUGCUGAUCGUCCAUAACACAGAUAUGACAAAGAGCCGACUGGUUGGGUACUCAAGAGCCAAAGUUCGAAAUCUAAUUGCUCCACAUUUCUACUGAAUUUAUUUUUUAAAUAAUUUUUCAGUGGCGGAUACACUAUAAAUAGAAUGAACUUAAAAUAGGAAACAAGAUUAUGGAGCAGGACCAUCAUCAUUAUUGUCUCAUGGGCCACACUACACAACAACUACAAUAUUGUCUCGUGGGCCUACACUUCCAUGUGGGCCCAAUGAGAAACCCUAAUUUUUUUUAAAAAAAAUAAAAUAUUAGUAGAAGAAUCCGACUAUAGUACUUUCGGGAGCACCACACAUGUGGUGCAGUUUAAUAUUAUUGUCUUGGAAGAACCACUAUCGUGCUGCUUUUACAAUUCUUAAUAUUAGAGUUAAAAAGUCGAAAAUACCAAAUUUUUUUAUAUUUUUGGAAGCAUAAUAGCUCUAUACAUGAAUAGAAUCAAAAUUUUCAAAAAACAAUUUUGUGUUUCUGUAAUAUUAAUAACUACUUUUUUAUGUUUUUUUACAUUUUAUAUAUAAAUAUUUAUCUUAUUGUGAAUUUUUUUUGGAUCUGCGGUUGGUUAUCUUACUAUAUGUAUGAUGCCAUUACUCUCUCGCUCUCUUUCUCUUUCUCUCUGGGAGAAAGAAAAAAAAAGGGUUAAAUAAAUAGCAAAGUAAAAUUUUGUGAAAUCACGGGAUAGUACUUUUUCUAACAAUAUAUCUUUACACCUAAGGAUUUAAGUGCUGUAGUACAGGAUUGUGAUGAAUCUUGCCGACACGGUAUGACACGGUGCGUGCCGAACCGUGUCGAUACUUGCUGGUCAAAAAAAUUUAUGUGUGCCGACACAUAAUAGCAUGAAAUAUUUAUUUUCUUUAGCAACAAAAUAUUCUAACUAUUUAUUAUAUUUUCUUAUCACAUAUUUUAAACUUUAUUGAAAAAAUUACUUACUAAUUUAAAGAAUAGAGGGUUAAGAGUUGUGCCAUUGAUACGGAGUUUGUAUCGUGCCGAUGUCUUAUUGGUAUGGUACGGCACGGUGGAUACGGCCCGUGCCGAUGGACACUUAAAACCUUAUUUACACUAAAAUAAAAAUAAAAUAAACUGAUAGUUAAGCGUAACUUUUUAAUACGAAAAAUCUCUACGGAGCAUCCGGGCCAAGCUACACUACUUAUGAGUGGGGGAUGGAUAUAAUUUUUUUUUUUUUCAUACUGUAGCUAAUGGCAAAAGGAGAGCUAACAUGAUUGGUAUGAUUGAUGAGGAUAGUGAAGUGUACUGAUCCGAAGAGGAUAUAAAGAGCUAUUUCUAUCAUAAAUUUAAGGAGCGCUUCAUAUAUGAAGAGAUGGCCCCGACUUCCUUUGGCGAGUGGAGCGGCUUCUUCAAAUCGUUAACGACCCCUAACCUUGCUCGACUAAUUGGACCUUUCAGUCUAGAUGAAAUAAAAACAAGCAGUUCUUCAACUCGAGAGAGAUAAGGCAUCGGGCCUCGAUAGUUUUCCGUGAGUUUCUACCAAACUUUCUGGAAUACCCUAAAGGAGAAUAUUUUGAACCUAUUCCAGAAAAUGUUUAAGGGGAGGAUGACCACCAGCCCCAUUGAUUACGCCUUCAUCUGUUUAGUCCCUAAGAAGGAAGGGGCUAAGAGCGCGAACGACUUUCGACCUAUAAACCUAUUGAAUGGGAUUCAAAAAAUUUUAUCAAAGGUUCUGGCCAACAAUCUAUAGCUGCUUAUAAACGAUCUAAUAUCUCCCUCCUAGUCGGCAUUUCUGAAUGAGAGAAAUAUCACUGAUACUUUUGCAGCACUUUGUGAACUAAUGGGUUGGGAAAGUGAGAAGGUUGUAGAAUGAGUCGGGGCAAAGGUGGACUUCGAAAAGAUGUAUGAUAAAAUCUAUUGGCAAUUCCUUUUUAGUAUUUUAGAAUGGUGGGAUUUCGACGAAAAGUGAUGUGGAUGAAUCAAACUCUGUGUGUGUUAUGCCAAGAUUGCAGUUUUGGUUAAUGGCGAGACUAUCAAAUGGAUAAAAAUGAAGAGGGGCGUGAGAUAGGGGGACUUACUCUCUCAUUUCCUCUUUCCUUUGGUGGCAGAGUGUCUUGCCCGGAUGACAAAUGAAGCAAUUACAAGUAAUCUUAUUAAAGGACUUGGACCCUUCGAUGUGACUAGGAUUACUCUUAUUUAAUUUGCGGAUGAUAUAUUUUUUUCUAUGAGGGUAAGAAAAGGUAUUUGAGAAAUCUCAAGUUCUUGUGAUACCUCUUUGAAUGGGCAUCCGGAUUGAAGGUCAACAGGAAGAAGUCAGAACUGUUCUACAAUGGACAGGCUGAAGGAAAAGCGAUAAAACUUGCGAAUAUACUUGAGUGUUGAAUAGGCAUCCUCCCUACCAAGUACCUAGGAUUGUCUCUUUCUACCGAGCCCCCUAGCUUUGAAGGAGGAUUAGAAUAGGAUCAUCUUGAAAAUAUAAAGAAAAAUUGACUGUUAGCAAACGAAACUCCUAUCAAGAGGGGGUAGAUUAAUUUUGACAAAUGCGGUUCUAACCAACCUACCUAUAUACUUCUUGUUUAUAUUCAAGGCAUCUAAAUGGAUGAUCGCGCAUACUGAGUCUUUGUAUAGAGACUUCUUCUGGAACGGAGGAAGCAACUCACCAGAUAAGGGUUGUCUGAUAGCUUGGAAGAAUGUAUGUAAGGAUAAGAAAGAAGGAGGACUUGGCAUCUUAGACUUAGCUACGAUGAAUAAGCUCUCCUGACCAAAUGGUGGUGGAAAUUCCACUGGCGCCCCAAUUACAAUGGAGCAAGAUUAUUCAUACUUUAUACUAUCAUAGAAGAAGAUCUUUAAAGAAGAAAUUUUUUUUUUAAACCUUACUCAUAUUGGUGAAAGGGAGUACUUAAUCAGAAUAAAAUCUCCAAAUAUGGUGUAUUAUACAAGUUGGGGAACACGAGUAAUAUCCAUUUUUGGUAGGACCGCUGGCGUGGAAAAACCACAUUGCAAUUGUCAAUAGCCUAGUCGCAUUCCAAGAGACCCAUUGAGCUGUCCAUCUUGCUUUUGAGUAUCCAAAAAGAAUCAAACUCUUAUUUUGUGGGGAAUACACUGGUGCUAAACUGCAACUUGGAGUAGUACUUUAAUUCUAUUAUUAUUAUAUUUUUAAGUUAACUUGAGUGCAGUUAAUGUAUUUUUAUGCUUUUUACUAUUAGUAACGGAGUCGGCACAUUAAUUUCCAUAUACAAAAAAAAUUUUAUGCGUGAGGUUGUAACGGUGAUCUCGUUACUAACUAGCAAAGAUGCUAACGCAUGCUGUAAACAUUAAUCUCAUUUUUCGCACUCUCUUUGUGUUGAUCAAAUUUAAGUUUUUGAAAAAAAAUGAUUAUUUAAUAUUUGUAACAUGAUAUCAAAGUUAGAUGUUUUUAGUCCGGAUUUUCUAAGAUUUUUAUUGUUACUUAAUUUUUUCUUCUUCAAUUUAAAUUCGUGUGUUUAAAAUUAUCAAAAACAUCUCGAUCUUAAAUAAUAAAAAAAUAUUAAAUAUAAAUAUUAAAAAUAUCUUCAUCUUGUAUGCUAGUUUAACUAUCGUCGUGCUCUGUAGCACCUUGUGGCUGGUACUGUCCCCAGUUAGAAAAGUUGCUAAUCAGUUUUAUUUUAUUCCGUGGGAAAGUGAAGGGUUUGUUUGGUUUAUUCCAAGUUUUCAAUAAUUGGCCAGAAAUUAAUGCUUGCACGCAAGCACUGUUUCAAACUCGCAUUUAUUUUUUUUUUUUUGUCGUGGAUAAAUUUUAAGCUAAAUUACAGAAGAUUCUCCGUCAAUAAUUUUUUUUUUUUUUGUUCUUUUCGGUCAUUCAAAAAUCUAUAUUUGUCCCUUUAAAAAAUAAAAAUAUUCGAUUUGACUCCCGCCGUCAAUGUUUUAUUAAGAUUCUGUUUAUAUUUUAUUUUUUAUAUUCAAAAUAUCCCUCAAACCCCCCUCCUUCCGCAUCCUCAGCCGUGCCGCCUCGCCCUCGUCCAUAUAUCUCUCCAUGCCGACACACACACCCUUGUCCGCCUCCACCGCCUCACCCUCGUCCACCUCGAGGAAGUUGAGAAAUAAUUUGGUCAUUUUGUCACAGCGUAUUUCUCUAUGAAUAUUUUUUAUUUUUUAAGAGGGUAAAGUGUAGAUUUUUGAAUGACAGAAAAAAAGUAAAAAAAAACUGAUAUUGAUAGGAAAGUUUUCUGUAAUUUAGCCUAAAUUCUAAUCUUUUUUAAUAAUUCAUCUUAUUUUUAUUUUGUUAUUCUGUUUGUGGGUAAAAAAAAUUAUAUUUAAUUAUUAUAAAAUUUAGGCCUAAAAAAUUUUACUUAACUGCUAUGUGGUUAUAAAGUUACUGUGCCAUUCUAUUUGAUAGUAGAUAUUUUGAAUAACAAUAAUGAUAAUAUCAUAAAAUAGUUAAGUGUAAUUUUUUAAAUCACAAAAUCGCAAAAUAAAAAUAUAAAUUGAAGUUUUUUUUUUUUUAAUUACAGUAUUUUUAAGUAGCUUCUAAUUGUAGGAAAAAUAAGAGCUUUAAAUUGAAACAUUUGGUGUUGACACGUGCUCCCUAAAUUAUAUAAGCAGUUCAAAGUUUCUGUAUCCACUACAGUGAAAUAUUAAAGAAAAUGUGUAAAUUGUUAUAUGCUUUUUCUCGGACAAUUGUGAUUAUAAAUAUUUUUAAGGUUUUGGAUGGGUCAAAAUAUAAAAAUAAAUACAUUUAGCCGCCGCAAUACCAAAUUAGGUUUUAGAAUAGCUUUUCAAAAACAACUCCUCUGAAAACAAAAAAAAAAACUUCUAUAUAUCAAAAGUAAAAGAAUCAUUAGAAUUUCUAAUUCUAUUACUCAAAACAUUGUUGGAUAAACGCGAACAUAGUAUAAUUUUUAAGAGUAUAAUCAUUUAAUAGUAUUUUCUUAAAAGAAAACUUAAAAUACCGCUUAUUUGGUUUCACAUUUUUUCACUUUAGUAUCCUGUGAUUUAAAGUGUAUCAAUUUAAUACCUUAUGAUUUUAUUUUUAUUUUUUUAUUAUCAAUUCUACUAAUUUUUUUUUGUUAAAUCAGUGACAAAGUUAAAACUAAAGGGUACUAAAGUGAAUAUUCGAUAAAUCUAGAUAGAGUAUCUAAAAUUUUGUAUAUAAUUUAACAAAAUAUUAAUGGAGAAGCUGACGAAAAGCUAAAAAUAAAACCAAAGUACACUAACUUAAUACACUUUAAAAUAUAGGGUAUUGAAAUGAGAAUGCAUGAAACCACAAGGGUGAUAUUUAAAAUUUACCCUUUAUUAAAUAAUACUAUACACCUUAGGAUGGCCUAGUUGUCUUGGUAGUUAUAUGCUUGCCAACGCAUAACAACUGCAGGCCAUUUGAACGUGGUAUCAAUUUCAAACAUAGUCCUCAAAAACUUCAAAAUGUUAUAUAUGCCCCUUUGAAAAUAUAAAAUUUUAUUCAUGGCCCUCUAAUAUUUGUAUAAAUCUAUCACAAAUGUCUCUCAGAAUCAUAAUUAGUUAAUUCGCGAAUUAUUCGCGAAUUAUUGAAAAUUCGAAUAAAACAAUCUGUAUACGAUUUAUUUUCAAAAAAAUAGAAUAAUACGCAAAUUUUUUGAUUAGAUUUAUUAUUCGCGAAUAAUUUGUGUACUACGAAAUAUUCGGCCAAAAAAACUCGCAAAUUUUUUGGAUAAAAUUUCUUUCCGAAUUAUUGUCGAAGUAUUGCCAAAUUAUUCACGAAUUAUUGAAAAACCUCAUGAACUUCCGAAAUAUAUGGACCAUGAAAAAGAUGAAGAUGGAGACAAUAAACUUUGCUGUUGCUUUUUUUACUUAAUCUAUUUUAUUUUGUAGCUCUCUUCUUUUUAUAUUUUUAAGAAUUAUAACUAUACAUACUAGUAGCAUAAAUCUAGAGAAAAAAAGUUUAGUUUAAUAGCAGAAUUUUUGAUCCCGAAUUGUUAAUCGGUGAAUGUAUAAUAUCCGUAUAAAUCGAGUAUCCGAAUGAUUGGUGAAUCCAUUUUUUAAGCCGUAUUUUUCAACGAAUUUAAAAAUUGAGAUAUGAAUUUUAUUCGAAUUAUAUCCGUUUCGAAUUUUUGCUGAAUCCGAAUUAACUAAUUAUUCUCUGAACUCCAAACCCAAAGCCUAAACCCUAAACCCUAAACCCUAAACCCUUUAUUAAUAUUUAUAAGGUAAAAAUUUACAUAACUUAUCUGAACUAGAAUUAUUUUGAAUUAGCUACCCAAUCUUUCGAAAUUUUGUUAUUUUACUAUCCAAUAUUUCAAUUUGUUUAAUUUGAAUACUCAACAACACUUUGUUUUUAAAAUUUGAAUGUGUCGUUUAUUUUUAUAUAUUUAAUUAGUAUGCUUUACACAAUUCUCAUAAUUAUAAAUUAUUAAAAUAGGUACUUAACUUAAAUUUUAAAAUUAAAGUACCAUUGAUUGGCUCAAAUUAAACAAGUGAAAGAUUGGAUAGUAAAAUUAAAAUUUUUAAAAAAUUAGACAAUCAAAUCAAAAUGAUCCACAAUUCAUGUAAGUUAUGUACGUUUACAAGCGUUCAAAGUUCAAAUAUCUGCAGUGGGACCGACCAUCAAGUGAUAAAGAGCUAACUAGUUGGUAGCCAAGGGUAGGGAUGUCAACGGUUUGGAUUCGGGGCGGAUUUCCAAAAAUUCGAACCCGAACCCGACUCCAAACUUGAAAAUCGAACCCGAACCCAAGCCCGAACUAGACAGAUUUUAAAAAUCCAUAUUCAAACCAGAACCCGACAAAAAAUCCGAAGCCCGAACCCGAACCCGAAUCCGAACCCGAAAAUUUGACCCAAAACAAUUAUUUCUCUUUUAAAUAUUUCAAAAUAUAUUAUAUUAAAUCUAAAUUUUUAUAAUACAAAUUUAAAUAUAACAUCAAAUUUUUAUAUACAUAUUAUAUAUAAUGUAAAAUAAAUUCGGAUUCAGGUCAGGUUCGGAUUCAAGUCGGGUACAGUCAAAAUCCAUAUCUGUAUCUACAUCUGUCGGGUUUUUAUUUUUGAUAUACAUAUCCGAAAUUAUAUCCAUUUAGCAUCGGAUAAUUCCGCUCCGUUCGAAUUCGGAUUCAGUUACAUAUAAAAAUAUUUAAACACCGUUUUUUAACACCUUAACUUUUAGAGUACAACGAUUAUUUUACAUGGUAUCAGAGCUGGAGGUCCUGAGUUCGAGUCACGCCAGGCUCCUAGUAUGUUAAUUUCCUCCCAUUUAAUUCAAGUCCACGUAAUGGGACGUAAGGGGGGGUGUUAAAUAUAAAAAUGUUUAAAUACCGUUUUCUAACAGUUUAAGUUUUUAGAGUACAACGGUUAUUUGGGCCAAAUUUGGAAGUGAAGUUGCUCUACAUUUUUAGCAAAAUAUAUGUUUUAAAUAAAUUUUCAGUGGGGGAGACACUAUGAUCAAGUACAAUGAUCUAAAAAUAGGAACAAGGAUGAUAGAGCAGGACCAUCCUCUUUAUUGUCUCAGCGGCGGAUCACUACGACAACAGUACAAGUAGGAUAGAGCAGGGCCCUCCUCUUUAUUGUCUCGUGGGCCCAACGCUCCCAUGUGGGCCCAAUGAUAACGCGCCUAAUUUUUUUUUUAAAAACAAAUAUUAUUAAUUAAUAGAAGAUUCCGAUUAUGAUGUUUCCAAAAGCACCUUUCACCUUGUGCGUAUUAAUAAUAAUAAUAUUAUUAUUAUUAUUAUCUCAGAAGAACCCCUAAAUUCUACGGAGUUCAUUAUCAUUCCAAUCCUAAAAAGUCAAAAAUACCUAACUCUUUGAUAGUUUCGAGUGUACAGUAACUCUAUGUAUUAAUAGAGUAAUUUUCAAAGAACAUUAAAAUAAUAUUUUUACCGUCACAAAUAUGCUCAUUCAAAUUUUUUUUCUAAUUGUUGGAAUUAUAUAGAUAUUUCAUUUCAGAAAUUUCCAACAGUCAUUUUCUUUUUUUUUAUCAUCACAAAUAAUAUAAGAGAGAUAAAAAAAUCAAUUUAUUUCAUUCAAUAAUUAGGAUUAAGUAUUUUACCUAAUAAUUAACUAUAUUCUUUAGGGUAUAUUUGAAAAUAUUAGAUUUUUUUAAAAAAUAAAUAUAAAAAAAUAAAUUUUGUAAACAUAUAUCUGGUAUUCGAUAUAUUUGUAAGGACCAUUAUGCAAUUAACCUAAAAAAAAUAUGGUGUGUCGUGAUAAACCGUAAAAGAGUAUCCGCGAGUAACCCCACCGCAUUCUCCUCGACGCUUCGUUCUCCCCAUGGUGCGCGACUUUUAACGUACUCCCACUCCCCGGUCUCAGUUUCCACUCUGCGAGUUCUCUCUCUCUCUCUCUCUCUCUCUCUCUCUCUCUCACUCUCCAUCGAUCUCGGAUCUCCUCACCGACCUUCUCUCGAUUCGCCAUGGAUUCGCUUCUUCUCCGGCCAUCUCCCCUCCCUCCGCGGCCCUUCGCCGCCGCCGCCGCCGCCUCUCGGCGAGGUACGCGCUCCCCACUCGAUUCGAGCUCUUGAUGGGUUGCAUGAGGGAAGAUGCCUCUGAAUCGAGCUGAUUGAUCUACUAUCUAGGGUUUAGAGCGUCAAAGUAGUUGAAUCGCGAUUAAUUUUAUGGCAUUGAUCUUAGGAUUGCUAGUUUUCUCCUUGUCUAGGGCGAGAGUGUGAGUAUGUGGUGAAUGAAUAGCCUUGGAUUGAGUUCUGGAGUUCCGGAUCGUAAGUAUAAGAAGCUAUGUAUCAAGAUACUUCUAUAAGCCUCGCGUGUCCAGUGUGGACACUUUUUGGAUACGUGUUCAAUGCUGAUCCAUAGCUCAGACAAUUAAGAAAACAUAUACAUAUUUUUAUUUUAUUUUAUAUAUGCAUAUAUAAUGAUGAUAAAUAUGAUGGAUGCAUACAAUUUAUUUUUGACAAUGUAAAUAAAUUAUGUAUGGUGGAGAAUUUUUUUUAAAAAAAUAUAUGAACUAUAAUGAAAAUUUUACUAACAUUCAUUCGUAUAAGAUAACAAUAUUUUUUCAAAAUUGAUAAUUUAUAUAUAAUAUAUAUAUAUAUAUUAAUAAUAUUAUAUUUUAUUAGCGGUAUUCAUGCCGUGUUCGUGUCCUAAUUUUUUAAAAACUAUCGAGUCACCGUGUCCGAGUCGUGUCGCAUCCCGUAUCCCGUGUCAGUGUCUUUGUCAUCUAGAUAAGAAACGAUUGGUAGAUAAGUUUCAUAUUAUCCUGCUUCUUCCUUUUCUUUUAUUAGAUAUGUUGAGAGAGAUAAGCUUUUGUGAUUUGAGUAUGACGACGUGUCUAAAUGAGCGAUUAGCACAGCAAUUUAUGGACACUUGCGUGAGUGUUUAACUUAAGAGAAUGUGUUCUUAUUAUUAUUAUCAUUUUUCCCAACAGCUUUGUAUGCUAAAUUACAGAAAUCUGCAACUGAAGCUAUUCCCCUGUCUCAAUUUUCUCAAAAUUUGAUCACAUUUUUGACAAAGGAAAAUGUGAGGUAAACACCUUGACAAAUUAACAUUGGUAACUGAGGCAGCAGGACAAGUGUAAGAUGGUCUUUGUGAUGUAAUUCAGAAAAUCAAUUAAUGUGGGUUACUUUAGCUUCAAGUUAGAAAGGAACUUGGUAAAAAAGCUCACGUAUACAAGAAGUUGGGUGUUCAACAGUCUUCGAAGGAAGAUUGAGGUUAACUUGCCGUGCUAUAAUAAGAAAUUUAAUAAGAAGUUAUAAGGUACAAAUGUAAUUGUUCAGUUUAGACAAUUUUUAGCUCCUAGAAGAAAUCUUUUUUACUUUCUAAUGAAACUCCUUUGCUUCAUUUGUUUGGUUUCACCUUUUGCAAGUCAUAUUCAUGUCCUCUAGAUUGACGAGCUUGCUUGUUGAGUAGCUAACAGAGUCUUGGUUUUUUUUUUUUGUGGGGGUAUAUUUCUCAGAUUCUCGGGUACCAAUACUUUAUUCUACUGGCCGAGCAUGUAAUGGCCCCUCUGUAUGGUUCAGUAGAAGAGUUCAAGAGCCCCUCAGAGACCAUUAUUUCAGACAUAUUGAUGGAAAAUCUACAUGUAGUGGGAGAACUCGUGAAUCGACCACUGUGCAUGCCUCAGGGAAGCCUUUAGAACCUGGACAUGAAGCAUAUGAUUCCUCGAGCAUCUGGCGACCAAUGUUAUCUUCCCUAAAUGCUUUUUACAGAUUUUCACGGCCACAUACAGUUAUAGGAACAGUUAAGUGGUACUCUUGUAGGAUUUUAAGUUAAAAGUUGUUGUACGGUUAUAGUACUUUCCCAGAUCUCAAGAUUUUUAUCAAUAAAAUUAUAUUUUUCACUUGUCAUCGACAGUUCUAAGAAGUGCUUUAUGUCUGAGCAGGCUCUGAGUAUAGUCUCUGUUUCCCUAUUGGCUGUUGAGAACUUGUCUGAUAUCUCUCCCUUGUUUCUGACUGGGCUGUUGGAGGUAACGAGUCUCAUUUUUUGAAAAUUUUAACCAACUUUCAUGGAACUAAAUGUUUUUGUACUUUCAGGCACUUGUGGCUGCACUCUUCAUGAAUGUUUACAUUGUCGGACUAAAUCAAGUGUAUGACAUUGAAAUAGACAAGGUAUCCCUCUAUAACCAGUCUUGGAAUACCCUCGUUCUUUGCCCUGCUCUAAAAUGAUUUAGUAGGAUGUUAUCUAUUUAAAUACAACAAUUUCGUGAUCUGCAUCAAUGCAUCAUUCAGAAUGCAUGCAUCCUGGUGCCUAAAGUUUUCUUCUGGAACUCAUUUUGAAAUUUAAUCCCAUCAUUUCAGGUCAAUAAGCCAACUCUUCCACUGGCUUCGGGGGAAUAUUCUCUGUUGACUGGGGUUGUGAUCGUUUCAACUUUUGCAGUUUUGGUAAGUAAGACUGUUUAAGUUGUCAGAAUAGUUUGGAGAACCGUAUUUGCUAUCUAUUGCUUUGCAUAGAGCAUGCAAUACAUGGGAUUGAUGCUACAAGUAGUUUAGUAUGUUAGAAGUAGUCUAGUUUUUUUUAUGUCUAUUUUAGUGCUUAGAAUCUCACUUCAUAAAUGCUUGUGCACCCAAUUUCAGAGGUUUCAUUCAUACUAAGUACUGCUUCGUGCCAAAGAUGAUGUUGAUGCUAAUCUAUAGAAUACAUCAAUUGGCGGUUGGGUCACAUCAAGAAAAUGGGUCCUUAGCGAGCCAUGUUGCCAAUUAAGGCAUAAACCGAUGGGAGCUGACGCGCCCAUUGCACUGUAAACCGGCUAUAAAAUAUGCAUCAAAGAUAAAUUUUUGUAGUACAAUAAAUUAUUAAAUUAUUUGUUAUUACAUAUUAUUAUAUUUUAUUUUAUUUUAUAGUACUAAUUAUUAGGUAUUUUAUCAAUCACCUAAUAUAUUGUGCGGUGUAUGGACAUUAGUUUACACAGGUGCAAGCGAGAUUUCUUCUCUCUCUUGGAAUUAUGAGUGCACUCUAUUAAGCAUUCUCUGCAUCGGGUGUAUAUUGUACAUAUACCACAUACUUAAAACCCUUUAAUAGAGAUUUCAAAAUCUAAUUUACUAAACAGAAUUAAUUAUUAGGCUUUGUAGAUCAAAUAUAUUUAGUUAAGUUUUAAUAUUAGAAUAUUUGUAAUCUAAUAUAAGGUUCGGUGUACGGAGUGUUAAUAUACACAAGGUGCAUGUAAUAGUUUCUUCUUGCUCCGAUCAAUUUUAAUAAGGUAAAGACACCCUCACCUAUUCAACAAUUUGAAAUAAGUCCUCCAACUUUAACUUUUUAGUUAAAAAAUUAUUUAUAGAAUAACUAUCAAAACUAUUUAGUUUGAUUGAGUUUUUAAAUAAAGUUAUUACAAUAAUUUAACUCUACAAAUACUGAAAGUUAAGGUUAUUUUUUAUAAUGGCUACUUUAUAGAUUUUUUUUUUUUUUUGUAUUUCUUUGGUUACAAUUUAUUUAAUCUUAAAAUAAAAUUAUAUAUCUUAAUUAACUGAAAUACUACCUACCCGCCUCAAAACACACGGCCAACACUAGUUAGUGUUAUUUUGCCACUUACAAUGUCGUACAAUUAAAUACCAGCACCAAACAGAUGUUAAAUUUCCUCACUGAAAAUUAAUCUUGAUGCUGGUAUUUUCACUUGACAACGUUUGAAAUGGUUUAUUUUGUGUCAUGGUUGCCGCUUUUGGCUAGGAUUUCAGUCCAACAUAACAUUUUGAUAAUACAGCUGCUUUGUAGCUUACUCAUGCAUACAACAUUAUGGAAUUGUCAAAUGAUGCAACAUUGUUGCUGUUUAGGGGCUUUCACUUUCUAAGCUUUACUAUGAAUGUAUAUACAGUUAUCUUCAGCUUUAUGAUACUUAUGGCACGUCUUGUAAAUGUUUGUCUCAAUUUAGAGCACCUAUCAUAUACCACUUCUGUCAUUGGAACUACCAAAAUUUUUGACCUCUAUCAUAUACAAAUAUCUUAUUUCAAAUGAGACGAAAGCAACUUCUCAUUACGACUUGUAUUGCUAACGAAGAUGUAAAGAUCAGUGUGCCGUGAUUAAAAUUUCCUUUACCAACAUGUAAAUCAAAAUAUCUGAAUAUUGGUUAGAACAGAAUUGUUAAUCACGAGCUUUUCAUUCAGAGCUUUGGUGUUGGAUGGGCUGUCGGUUCUUGGCCAUUAUUUUGGGCUCUGUUCGUUAGCUUUGUACUUGGAACCGCAUACUCUAUCAAUGUAAGCAUUAUCCUUUUCUGCCUAAUUUACUCUAUUUUCUUCCAGUUGAUUUUUCAGAGUUUCACGACUGCUCAAUAUGCAUGCAAAUAAUGGAGGUUUUUUGACAAUGCAUCUGUGGAUUUGUUUUGAACUUCUUGUCAAUCAUAUUUUUUUAAAGGUAGAGAGAAAACAUUUCUUCUUUCAGUUGGGAAGUUUAGGCCUUUUUUACAUUUUAUCUUCUUCGCCUAUAUGAUAUUUGCCAGGUAUUUUAAUCCUGAAGCAAAAGAUAAAAAAGUUCCAUAGAUAAUAUGAGAUCGGCAGAUAAUUAGCUUGAUUUUGUUAAUUCUAAAACAAUGAAAUAAGUGAGCUAUUAUAACAGGCCAUUCCUAUUUGUUGCUCCCUUGCUUGCUUCCAGUUUGGACAAGGUAGUACCACACUGCAUUUAUUUAUUUGUAAAGGAUCCAUUCAAUUUAGAGUGCAAUUCAUGGGUGACCCAAAUUGAAGGUUAGUUAAAGCACUUCACACCCACCUUAGGGCUCUCUGUAAGCUAGCUAGAACUGAAGUGAAACUUAGUUACGCAGGAUAUUAACAAAACUAAAGAUGAUAUAUCUAAUCGAAAUUAAAAGCAUUUAUCUUGAUCUUGGCAUAAAAAAUAUCACCCACACACUCAUUAUCCAAUAAUAAGUUAGAGCAAAUAUAAAAAUAAAAGCAGUAUACAUGUUCUUUGUACCCUGAUGGCUUUUAAACUCGGAUACUUACAGAUCCCCUUUUUAAGAUGGAAGAGAUUUGCUGUUAUUGCAGCACUCUGCAUAUUGGCAGUGCGUGCAGUGAUAGUUCAGCUGGCUUUUUUUUUGCACAUUCAGGUAUAUCUUUCUAUAGCAACAUGGUAUAAGUUAUUUGAAUGCUCAAAAUGUCAUGUUUUCUGUGCUAAUAGUGCUAGGUGUUUUAUGUUGAUAAAUUUUCCAGACAUUUGUUUUCAGAAGACCAGCUAACUUUUCAAGGCCGUUGAUUUUUGCUACAGCGUUUAUGAGCUUCUUUUCUGUUGUUAUAGCAUUAUUCAAGGUAACCAUCAUGAUGGCAAUUCUAUUAUGUUCAUAUGUUCAAAUCUGCUUGGAGAUUCUAGUGUUGUGUGUGUGUGUGUGUGUGUGUGUGUGUGUGUGUGUGUGUGUACACACUAAAAAUAUAUUAAUCUUAAAGUUGAUCGUUAUGCAGGAUAUUCCUGAUAUUGAAGGGGACCGCAUAUUUGGCAUUCGGUCUUUCAGUGUCCGUCUGGGGCAAAAGCGGGUCGGUCAAAAUUAAUAAAACUUAUGACCCUGAUUGAAAUGACUGAAAAAUCUUCUUCAAAUUGCUAAUAACUGUGCAUUAAAGCAGGUGUUUUGGAUUUGUGUUUAUCUGCUUGAGAUGGCUUAUACUGUUGCCAUGGUGAUUGGGGCUACUUCUUCCUGCCUUUGGAGCAAAGUCAUAACUGUAUGUGGCCUUUUAUGUCGUUGAUUGUAGAUUUAAUUUACCUUACAUGAGCUUUUGCAAAAGUGCUGCUGAGUGAAGCUGUUUUAAGUAGAUAUCUUCCACAACCCUUCUCUCUGUAGCAGAAGCAGUUGCUUCAACUUGUAGCUUUUGCUAUUGGUCUGAAAGCUCAUAUCAAAUUUCUGGUACAAUGAAAUCUCUAGACUUUGUUUUUACCAAAUGUGCAGCUGCUGCUUUUCUGAGUAGAUUAUCUGUCUCAGAAGCCAGGUCAAAUGAUCACUCUAGGAUGAUUGUAUGCAUGACACCGAAUUCAUUUAUAAUGGACCAGACAUGAUUUUCUCAUGCAUCUUUUCUCUUAUUAUUUUAUUGUUAACAUAAAUGAAGGUCUAAAUGUUAUUUGUUAAUUAUGCUUUUGAUAAAAGUACUUUCUAUUGGAUUUUCAGGUUUCAGGCCAUGCUAUCCUUGCUUCGAUCCUUUGGAAGCGUGCAGGAUCUCUCGACUUGAUGAGCAAAGCUGCAAUAACAUCCUUUUAUAUGUUUAUUUGGAAGGUAAUCAGUAAUUUCUGUGCUUAUACGGUGAACUAAAGUUAGCUCCAUCUAAUUAUUAAUUUUAGACUCAUCCCUCUACUCGAGACUAUUUCAGACCCUUGUCAAAUGAAAUCAGGCAAAAUACGAAAAUUUCCUUGCACAUUUUGUCCCUUUAUUUUAUACAGUCAAAUUUUAACCCCUUUCUUUUUUUGCCCUCUUUGUAUUCACAGCUCUUUUAUGCCGAAUACUUGCUCAUUCCUCUUGUGAGAUGAAGACAUAUGGAGUCAGAUUAAGUGUGCUGUUGCAGUCGCAAGGGAUUCUUUUCUGAAACCCCCAAAUUAUCUUCUACUUUGCUUCUCCAAAUCUUUGCUUCCUGGCCAAGCUGCUUCUAGAAUCUGUCAUCUUCAACCUGUCCCACCACAAGAGCCAAUAUCUUAAGGUAAGUUGUAUAAUUUGUAUAUUAUUGGAGGAGUGCUUCGCAUGAUCCUAUAUUCCAUCACUCAGUGCGUUUCAAUAGGUCGCAGAUUAGAUGGAAAUUUAUUCGUAAUGAAUAGGAUAUUUCUGUACAUAUUAUUUGACACUGAUUGGUUAGUCUAAACAUGCUAACUUUUCUAGCUAUCCUUUGAUGGAUAGCUAGAAAAGUUACUUAUUUUCUUUAGGAUUUUUUUUGGAUAUUAGUAUUAAAAACAUGCAACAUACUCUUGGAUGUGCAACGGAUCAAAUGCUCUCAGAUGAGAUGUCAUUGGGGAUCUCUCCAGGGAAGUUUUCUCUAUUCUUGAGGGCCCGUGACUUCAAUUUAUUUUGGGCUGAAUUAAGUUUGAGCCCAGAACACGUCCACUUAUUGCAUAAUCUGUGGGUCAAACUGGGUCUUUUUUAAAAAAAACAGUAAAAGCCCGUAGACCAAACUGGGCCCGUUACGUAGCAAAUCUCAUUACUAUAAGGGCUUGUUUGGUUCAUCCAUUUUGGGUAUUGAAUGGGAAUCGGUUUGAUCAAAUGCAGUUAAUUUUGUUUGGUUCGCAUGAAUCGGUUUGGGAUUCCUAUUCCGGACUGGAAUGGGAAUGGCCUAUUAGCUUUCAACUUGAUUCCGGUCUUCUAGCUCGGAUUGAGAUUUCAUUCCGAAAGUCCACUAAAUUUUCGAAGCCCAUGUGACCAUCUCGCCUUCCUUCUCUUCACCCCUUUCUCAUAAAAAAAAAAAAAUCUAUCAUCUCUCAAAACCCUAUUCCUAACUCACAUCAAUAAAAGUUUUUAAAAAUAAAUUUGAUUUUUUUUUUGGAAAACUUAUUAGAGAAUAGUAUUAUAUUUUUCAUAAAUUUUAAAUAAUAUAAAUUUAUAUUUGAGAGUAAAAUUAGUAUUAUUGUAUCCUAUAAUUUUUUUAGUUUAUACGAACCAAAUAAUGAAAUGUGAAUAACUCAUUCCAAUUUCCAAUCCACAAAUAAACCAAACGUCUUGGGGGAGUGAGCCAUUCCAAUUACCAUUCCAAUUCAUUCUCAUUCCAUUAUCCAUUCCAAUUUUCCCCUUGAACCAAACAAGUCCUAAAAGUUUCAAGCGUGUUUGGUUGUGUGGUUUCCUAUUCGAUACUGAAAAUAUCUUUAAUAAUGAGCAUUUUCGUUCAUUUAUUUUAUUUUAUAUAUGUUUUUUGAUGUAUGAUAGUGAUUUGUUGGUAUAAUUUUAGCUCAUAAUAGGCUUUAUAUUUUUCUCUAGUCACUAGAAACUAAUAAUUAAUAGUUGUAUAUAUUCUCGGGCACAAACUUUGGAGCCUAGGUCACACUGCAAACUACAGAAACUGGGAACCAAAAAAAUAUUGUAAAUAGGAAAAAAGCAUAGAAAAUGUAAUCAGUUAAUCUAACUGAUGUUUAGGCUUCGUUUAGAAUCGCAAUGUGCACUUGUUGCGUUUGAUAGAAAAUUAUCGUAAGAAAAUAUUUUAUUAUUUUUGUAAGAAAUAAUUGUCACUUUUGUGCGGGGAAAAAAAAUUAGAAGUAGCAUAAUUUUACAAUUUUUUUUUAGUGCAAUAACGUUAAGCUGUUUUCCAUAAUCAAUGGGUUAUAAAUGAAAACUAGUGACACAAUUUUUAUAAAAAGGAUACCUCCUAGCCUUAAAACUAAGAGAUUUUUAAAACUACCAGUUUUUCAAAACUGGACCAUGAAAUCCAUCCGCGACUAGGGGUGUAAUGUGUGCCGUACCACAUUCGCACGGGCCGGAGGCUAGCCUGGCAUGGUCCGGCCCCAAAGUCGAGCCGUGCUGUGUCGGGCCGAAUAUCUUGACCUCUCGGCCCAGCACGCCCCCUCGGCUAGCACGGGACCGGUCGUGUGGGGCCGAGCUUUGAGCCAGCCCAUUUUUUAUUUAUUUAAUUUAUUUUUAAAAUAUAUUAAAUUUUAGAAAAUUAAAAUUUUAGAAAACCACGUGGGUGGCCUGCGGGCCGCCCAUCCCGUUUUACACCCCUGACCACAACUACAGAAUAACAAAGCAAGGCAAGACGAUUGGGAUGGCUGGUUGAAAGUUUUCCAAGGUAAAUUUGAUUUGGAAUCUAUGAUUAAUUAACCAUAUCUUGUGCAUUCUUUAUUUUAACUUUUGAAAGAGGUAAAAAAAAAAUAAAAAAAAAAAAAAGGAGUAUAAAAGGGAAGGGUGACCUAUUAGGUUUGGGUUUAGUUGUGUUACUGGGAGGAGUAGGGACGCAAAUGGAUCCAGGUUGAUGGAGCUUCCGUUCAUAAUGGGGACAGUAAGUGGAGGCCUUACUCAUUUUGAAUUCUAUCCUGAUUUGGUGUAAAAAAAAAAAUAGAGAGUGAGAGGUGAAAGACUCAUUUCUUCCCUUUUUUUUCCGUCCUAUUCGAUGUAAUUUUAUUAAAAACUUGUUCUUGUUUCAAUCCGUCCUGAUGGAAUAAUAAGUGGGGAUAAAAAAAUAGAGAUAAAAAGUAAAAAAUCAAUUCGUUCCGAAUUUAUUCGGAUUCACCAAAAAAAAAAAAGGUGGGAGGUGGGGGACCGCUAGGAUCCGUCAAGUUUGCAUCCUUAGGGAGGACUCGGCUUGAGAUACAAGAUUUCAAGCUCCCGAUUCUCAAACACCCCACAGACACACACAAAAGAAAAAGAGAAAGAGUUUUUUUUUUUUUUUUAUUUCUUUUUUUUGGAGAGAGAGAGAGAGAGAUAGGUAGCACGCUAUCUGUUUCGUUUAUUCAUUUCAUUUAGAAAUAAACUUAGCUAGAAAUAUAAUAUAAAUCAACUGAGUUCGAAUUUGAGAUCUCGGAUAUCAACUAUCAAAUUUUUUACCAUACAUCUUAAAAGUCACAUCUUAUUAAACUUUUCAGAUUCAAGUAAGUUUGGGUAAAUGAAUUUGUUCAUUGCUUUCCUCAAUGCGCUUAGUAAUUCCUAGAAAUCAAAAUGAUGGAGAGAGAG